This 2997-nucleotide ribosomal RNA is filed under the name Triticum aestivum (bread wheat). Its description in RNAcentral is "partial small subunit ribosomal RNA". Lineage: Eukaryota; Viridiplantae; Streptophyta; Magnoliopsida; Poales; Poaceae. The record is from RNAcentral.
AUGAAGUUCAACAACGAAACACAUUUCACUUUCAGCUCCAAAUCCACCAUGCUUGCACUCGCAGUCUUCCUGCUCCUGCUCACCGAAACCACAACAGGGUGGUCCAAGCCAGAAGCACUGAGGACGACCCAUGAUCGAGGAGGAUGCAUCGCCAGGGAGAGGGAAGCUCUGUUGUCCAUCAAAGCCGGCAUCACGGCUGACCCAGAUGGCCUACUCUCGUUGUGGCGAGGGCAGGACUGCUGCCGGUGGGAGGGUGUGAGCUGCAGCAACAUGACCGGCCAUGUCAUCAAACUCGACCUCCAUAAACGGGACGACCAGUCUUCCCUGGAAGGUGAGAUAAGCUCUUCUCUGAAAGACCUGCAGCAUCUGCAGCACCUGGACCUUGGCGGGAAUGAGGAUCUCACCGGGCCUGGAGGACGCCUCCCAGAGUUCUUAGGGUCUCUUGGUGACCUGCGGUACCUCAACCUCUCCAGCCUGGAUUUUUCUGGCACAGUGCCCCAUCAACUUGGCAACCUCACGAGGUUGUUAUACCUCGAUCUGAGAUCUUAUUAUGGUCUAUCUAAAGAAUUGCACCAAGAAGAUCUCUUAUGGCUGCCACAGCUCUCUUUGCUCAAACAUCUUGACAUGAGUUAUGUGAACCUCAGCACUGUGAUAGGCUGGGUUGACACAGUAAACAAGCUGGCCGCUCUUGAGGUCCUCAGGCUAUCGUCAUGUUCGCUUAAUAGCACAGGCCACUUUGUGUCCCGCUCGAAUCUCACCAUGCUCGAGAUCCUUGACAUCUCUGGCAAUUCAAUUGAAUUGCAGUUCAAGGCUAUCAGUUGGGUUUUGGAUGCAACCAGCCUCAUAUAUCUCAGCCUUGAGUAUAGCGGUAUAUAUGGCAUGUUUCCUGCACAUUUGGGAAACUUCACCUCACUUGAAGUCCUUCAGCUGAGUGGUAACUAUCUGAAGGGAAUGCUACCAGAUACACUCACGAGCCUCUGCAGGCUGAGAAUAUUUGAACUGGCAGGGAAUGAUGUUCAAGGGGAUGUGACAGUUUUAAUCGACAGGUUACCGAAAUGUUCAUGGUGUCAGUUGCAGGUCUUGCGUCUGGGCCACAAUAGCAUAACCGGUUCCUUGUCAGACUGGAUCAGCAACGUGACUAGCUUGACCACUCUUGAUCUUAGAUUCAACAAGCUUACAGGACCUCUGACAACUGGGAUAGGUAUGCUUUCUAACCUGAUUUAUCUGAACCUAGGCUACAAUCAGAUGGAUGGACUCAUCACUCAAGGUCACUUCGCCAAGCUUACAGAGUUGCGGCACCUACACUUAUCUGGAAAUUCCUUUACCAUGGAGCUGAACUCUGACUGGAUCCCUCCGUUCACAUUACAGUCACUAGGAUUAACAUCAUCCUAUCUUGGGCCGAGAUUUCCUCAAUGGCUUAAAUCACAGAAGAACAUCUCCUUCCUUUAUAUGUCUGGUACUGGCAUAGUUGAUACCAUGCCUGGUUGGUUUUGGACAGUAUUUAUAGGGGCUGAAAUUUUGGACCUCUCCAGCAAUAACAUUGGUGGCAAAUUACCGGCUACUCUUGGACAAAUGGGAGCUGAUGUCUUAGAUCUAAGCUCGAAUCGAUUCACAGGCUCAGUACAACAGCUACCUCAGUACACAACUGAAUUGGAUCUCUCAAGCAACUUUCUGUCAGGGCCUCUACCAUUGAGUUUAUGGCCAAUAUAUAUAGAGAGUUUGUUUCUUUCUAACAACUACUUCACAGGCACUAUCCCGGCAUCGUUAUGCCAAAUACAGUCCCUGAGAUAUCUUGACAUUGGAAGUAAUAUGAUAACAGGUCACUUACCUCGAUGUUCAGAACAUGUGACAUCAAGUUCAGCAAUGGUAACGCCUAACACAACCUCUCCGGAUAGUGAUUCAAGCUCUACCAUGCCACUAUCUAUGUCAAUUGAGACUCUUAGGAUCGACAACAAUAGCCUCUCGGGAGAAUUCCCUCUGUUAAUACAGAAUUGCCCAGAACUAACUUUUGUUGAUCUUGGGCAAAAUAAGUUUUCUGGGAGCAUACCAGAAUGGAUUGGACAGAAAUUGCCACAACUGAAAUAUCUGCGUCUCAGAUCCAACAUGUUUUCUGGCUAUAUACCUGCCCAGCUUAAAGAACUUCGUCAUCUCCAAUAUUUGGACCUAGCACACAACAACUUCUCAGGCUCUAUACCUCGGUCCCUGCUAAACAUGGAUGGCAUGACCAAAACCACAGAAUUAGCAGAUCGGGAUAUUCCGUCCGGCACUUCCAGCGGCAUUAUUGCUGUAGAUGAUGGCGAUGUUCCUGGAGGAUUUGCGUAUUAUUAUAUUGAUAGCAUAUUUGUAGUCACAAAAGGGCAAGGACGAGAAUAUAUUGGUCAAUCAAUAUACAUGGUGAGUCUAGAUUUGUCCUUGAAUCAUUUAACUGGAGAUAUCCCCAAAAGCAUUGGUCCCGCAUCCGGUUUAGUGAGCAUGAAUCUGUCUCUGAACCACUUGACUGGAAAAAUCCCAGAGAGCAUUGGCUCCAUGCGCUCACUGGAAUCACUUGAUCUCUCCAGCAACCAGCUCUCUGGCGAAAUCCCUUCGAGACUAUCCGAUCUAACAUUGCUAAGCUAUCUGAAUUUGUCCUACAACAAAUUGUCAGGAAGGAUACCGUCAGGCCCCCAGCUCGACACACUCAACCCUGAUGAUCCCACCUCCAUGUACAUUGGCAACCCUGGACUCUGCGGGCCUCGUCUCCGGAAGACUUGUCCAGGAAACCAUGCAGCGGAAAGCCACCCCAAAGAGAGCAAAGGAGGAUCCGAGACGAUGCCCUUGUGUUUUGGACUAAGCGUCGGCUUGGUAUUUGGCCUUUGGGUAGUGUUCUGCUCCCUUCUGUUCAAGAAAACGUGGAGGGUCUCCUAUUUCCUGUUCUUUGAUGAGGCUUGUGAUAAAAUGUAUGUAUUUGUGGUUGUGAAUUGGGCGAGGAUGAGGCGGAAGGUGAUGGCCACAGAUUGA